This 444-nucleotide ribosomal RNA is filed under the name uncultured bacterium. RNAcentral's name for it is "bacterial SSU rRNA". It matches the Rfam family "Bacterial small subunit ribosomal RNA", at positions 29 to 460 of the family's 1533-position model. The record is from RNAcentral.
AGCGAACGUUAGCGGCGCGCCUAACACAUGCAAGUCGCACGAGAAAGGGAGCAAUCCCCGGUACAGUGGCGCACGGGUGAGUAACACGUAGAUGACCUUCCCUGGAGUGGUGGAUAACCUGCCGAAAGGCGGGCUAAUACAGCAUGGGACCACAUGGUUUUGACCGAGUGGUGAAAGCGGGCCUCUGUUCACAAGCUCGCGCUCUGGGAUGGGUCUGCGUCCCAUCAGCUAGUUGGUGAGGUAAUGGCUCACCAAGGCAUCGACGGGUAGCUGGUCUGAGAGGAUGACCAGCCACACUGGAACUGAGACACGGUCCAGACUCCUACGGGAGGCAGCAGUGGGGAAUAUUGCGCAAUGGGGGAAACCCUGACGCAGCCACGCCGCGUGAGUGAUGAAGGCCUUCGGUUGUAAGUACUCUGUCGGGAGGGACGGAAGGGAGGACAA